Non-coding RNA from Corylus avellana, 185 nucleotides. NCBI's taxonomy places the organism in Eukaryota, Viridiplantae, Streptophyta, Magnoliopsida, Fagales, Betulaceae. The record is from RefSeq and is a predicted model, not a curated record.
AGAUGGACGAGUACUUGCAGUACAUGAAGACUUUGCGCUCUCAGAUGAACGAUGUGGAGGAUCAAGCGGCGAAGAUUUCUGUCGAAGAGCAAAUGCAGUUAACCACUAUUCAAACCAUGGAAAACGAUCUCAAUUCUGCAAAAUCUGAAACAAAGCAACUUAAAGAAGAUGCUGAGCUAAUGAUG